ACGGGAGGCAGCAGUGGGGAAUAUUGGGCAAUGGGGGAAACCCUGACCCAGCAACGCCGCGUGAGGGAAGAAGGUUUUCGGAUCGUAAACCUCUGUCCUUGGUGAAGAGGAAGAGACGGUAGCCAAGGAGGAAGCCCCGGCUAACUACGUGCCAGCAGCCGCGGUAAUACGUAGGGGGCAAGCGUUAUCCGGAUUUACUGGGUGUAAAGGGAGCGUAGACGGCUUUGCAAGUCUGAAGUGAAAGCCCGGGGCUCAACCCCGGAACUGCUUUGGAAACUGUAGAGCUAGAGUGCAGGAGAGGUAAGUGGAAUUCCUAGUGUAGCGGUGAAAUGCGUAGAUAUUAGGAGGAACACCAGUGGCGAAGGCGGCUUACUGGACUGUAACUGACGUUGAGGCUCGAAGGCGUGGGGAGCAAACAGGAUUAGAUACCCUGGUA
Molecule: ribosomal RNA, 436 nt
Filed under: uncultured Lachnospiraceae bacterium
Lineage: Bacteria; Bacillati; Bacillota; Clostridia; Lachnospirales; Lachnospiraceae
Description: bacterial SSU rRNA
Rfam family: Bacterial small subunit ribosomal RNA
Source: RNAcentral